RNAcentral lists this unclassified non-coding RNA (2542 nucleotides) under Daphnia pulicaria. RNAcentral's name for it is "excitatory amino acid transporter 3-like, transcript variant X4". The record is from RNAcentral. Lineage: Eukaryota; Metazoa; Arthropoda; Branchiopoda; Diplostraca; Daphniidae.
CGCCAUCAGUCUCCAAUUGGCCGACGGUUAGACCGGUUUUGUCCAAUCCUUUUCUGAUUAUUCAAAAGCGUCAAAUGCCGUGUUAACUCUGGUUUGACGACGAUUGUUGUGCCAGUGCCGCAGCCGGAAUCAGCCGCCUCUAUCGAUCAGGUCAGCCUCGUCGAAAGGUAGACGAGGUGAACAACGAUCGCGAUCCUCAUCACCGGAGACGGGCGUCGGCUCCGGCACCAAAGGAUCCAGCGCGACCAAAGGUCGUCCAUUCGCCAAACCGAUUUCGCGAGCACUCAACAUGAGCGUGACGCAAAAAGUUGUCGGCUGCCUCAGGAGCAACGUCCUGACAAUCCUCAACAUCGCCGGCGUCUUCUCAGGCGUCGUCCUCGCCCUGGCACUCAGGUCGUCGCGCGAGGAGAAAUGGACACAACGAGAAAUUGUUUAUGUUGGUUUUGUAGGUGAUUUGUUUUUACGAAUUCUUAAGUGUCUCAUUCUGCCAUUGAUCGUCUCAUCAAUGACUUCAGCCAUCGGCUCUCUGGACCUUUCCGUGUCGGGACGGAUCGGUACGCGAGCCAUCGUCUACUAUAUGACCACCACCGUCAGCGCUGUCAUUCUGGGUAUCAUCCUCGUCCUGACUAUCCAUCCAGGCGAAGGAUCCGAUGAGGGAAUCGUUCGCGGCGGUUCCGUCCGUCACGUCACCACGGCCGACAUGCUCAUGGAUCUCAUCAGAAACCUGUUCCCACCGAAUUUGGUCCAGGCUUGCAUCGCUCAGUAUAAGACUGUGUUGACACCACCUGCCGACUAUUUGGAGUCUCUAGCCAAUAUGACCAACUCCAAUGGAACCGACGCCGGUAACAUGACCGCCGGAAAGCCAAAGAAAAUCUACGACUGGAAGAUGUCAUCCGACUACGUGGACGCCACCAAUAUCCUCGGACUCAUCGUCUUUUCCACCGUGUUGGGCAUCACGCUCGGCCGGAUGGGAGCCAAGGGCAAGCCGCUCCUCAACUUCUUCGUCUCGAUGAGCGAAGCCGUCAUGAUGAUCACCGGCUGGGUCGUUUGGUUGUCACCGGUAGGUGUCAUGUUUUUGGUGGCCUCCAAGAUGUUGGAAAUGGAGAGCUGGGAAGUCAUGUUGGGACAACUUGGCAUGUACUUUUUCACGGUGAUGAUUGGCCUCUUCAUCCACGGUUUCGUCGUUCUCCAGCUAAUCUACUUCAUUGUGACGCGGAAAUUGCCGUUCCGCUACGUCGGAAACCUCUCCGAAGCUCUGGCCACUGCUUUCGCCACUUCAUCGAGCUCGGCCACUCUACCCGUGGCGCUGAAAUGCUUGGAGGAGAAAAACCAAGUGGAUCCACGAGUGACCCGCUUCGUCAUGCCAAUUGGCGCCACCAUUAACAUGGACGGAACGGCCUUGUACGAAGCCGUCGCCGCCAUCUUCAUCUCGCAAGUGCGUGGUAUUCAUCUGACCAUGGGCAACGUUGUGGCUGUCAGCAUCACCGCCACAGCUGCUAGCAUCGGCGCCCCUGGAAUUCCUCAGGCCGGAAUCGUCGCCAUGGUGAUGGUUCUCGCUACUCUUGGCCUGCCAGCCGAAGACGUCUCCCUCAUCGUGGCUGUCGAUUGGUUUUUGGAUCGCUUCCGGACGUUUACCAAUGUGCUAGGAGAUUCGUUGGGAGCCGGUAUUGUGCACCAUUUGAGCCGUCAUGAGCUGGAAGAGAUGCCGAUCGAACCUGCCACUGGUCGAAGAGAGUCUGAUAUUGAACUGGACGGCCCGCUAGCUGGUGUCGAUCUAGAGAAGGGCGAGUCGAGCUACGGUGGCCCAAGCUCAGGAAUCCCAAUGUUACCUCCGCCGCCGUGGAAGUCGAAUGGCAGUCGACAUCCAUUUAUUAUGUAUCCGGGAAUUUAUUCGGACUGUCUAUGUCUACUGUUUUUAUACAUACCGUGUAUACACACAUCCUAACGCGGGAAUAAGUUAGUUUGGCAACAUCUUUCCAGGCGGACGCGACGCGUUGGCGUUGCAGACGAGUUUAUAAUUGGAACUGCAUGUGAAAGUUUCAGCAUUCGACAACUAACUCUCUGCUCUGCUAGUUUUGUUAGAAUCCACCAGCUUUGUUGAGAAUGCAGUGUCUCAACUCGCAAGUUUCGACGAGUAUCAUAUUGUCAAAGGCCACGUGGUGAAAUUUUAAAUCAAGGCGGGAUGAAACUUUAUUUCCGAGAAAUGAAAGGAUGGUAAAUCCUUCAUACGGCAGAUUGACAUGACUGCCUUUGAAGUAAGGGUGUUGUCCUAAAAGUGCUUUGCGGAAUGUAUAUUGAGUAUUGCUGUGGAGCUUCAAACCAAAUAUGGUGUGAUUGACAAUUAAGAAGUGGUGUUCAAGUCUUGUUGAAUUCUGGAACAUAUUGUGGCUCAUCCAUGAUUGACAGCUUUUCUUGAUGCUUCCAACCAGAAUUCAAUGUGAUGGUUGCUGGCUGCUCUGUGGAUUGGACAUUGCAAACUGGAUUAAACCGGUUAAAUCUCCGGUGGCGAGCUGGAGGAAUACACUGCAGGUCUUGAACUAUU